This 253-nucleotide ribosomal RNA is filed under the name uncultured bacterium. Its description in RNAcentral is "partial 16S ribosomal RNA". It matches the Rfam family "Bacterial small subunit ribosomal RNA", at positions 524 to 776 of the family's 1533-position model. The record is from RNAcentral.
UACGUAGGGCGCAAGCGUUGUCCGGAAUUAUUGGGCGUAAAGAGCUCGUAGGCGGCUUGUCACGUCGGGUGUGAAAGCCCGGGGCUUAACCCCGGGUCUGCAUUCGAUACGGGCUAGCUAGAGUGUGGUAGGGGAGAUCGGAAUUCCUGGUGUAGCGGUGAAAUGCGCAGAUAUCAGGAGGAACACCGGUGGCGAAGGCGGGUCUUUGGGCCGAUACUGACGCUGAGGAGCGAAAGCGUGGGUAGCAAACAGG